GAGUUUGAUCGUGGCUCAGGAUGAACGCUGGCGGCGUGCCUAACACAUGCAAGUCGAACGAAGCAAUCGGGAUGAAGUUUUCGGAUGGAUUCCUGGUUGACUGAGUGGCGGACGGGUGAGUAACGCGUGGAUAACCUGCCUCACACUGGGGGAUAACAGUUAGAAAUGGCUGCUAAUACCGCAUAAGCGCACAGUACCGCAUGGUACGGUGUGAAAAACCCAGGUGGUGUGAGAUGGAUCCGCGUCUGAUUAGCCAGUUGGCGGGUAACGGCCCACCAAAGCGACGAUCAGUAGCCGACCUGAGAGGGUGACCGGCCAC
Molecule: ribosomal RNA, 319 nt
Filed under: uncultured microorganism
Description: bacterial SSU rRNA
Rfam family: Bacterial small subunit ribosomal RNA
Source: RNAcentral